GACGAACGCUGGCGGCGUGCCUAAUACAUGCGAGUCGAACGCUGAAGGAGGAGCUUGCUCUUCUGGAUGAGUUGCGAACGGGUGAGUAACGCGUAGGUAACCUGCCUGGUAGCGGGGGAUAACUAUUGGAAACGAUAGCUAAUACCGCAUAACAGUAGAUGUUGCAUGACAUUUGCUUAAAAGGUGCUAUUGCAUCCCUACCAGAUGGACCUGCGUUGUAUUAGCUAGUUGGUGGGGUAACGGCUCACCAAGGCGACGAUACAUAGCCGACCUGAGAGGGUGAUCGGCCACACUGGGACUGAAACACGGCCCAGACUCCUACGGGAGGCAGCAGGAGGGAAUCUUCGGCAAGGGACGGAAGGCUGACCGAGCAACGCCGCGUGAGGGAAGAAGGGUUUCGGAUCGGAAAGAUCGGUUGUAAGAGAAGAACGAGUGUGAGAGUGGAAAGUUCACACUGUGACGGUAUCUUACCAGAAAGGGACGGCUAACUACGUG
Molecule: ribosomal RNA, 495 nt
Filed under: uncultured bacterium
Lineage: Bacteria
Description: partial 16S ribosomal RNA
Rfam family: Bacterial small subunit ribosomal RNA
Source: RNAcentral